Molecule: long non-coding RNA, 3981 nt
Filed under: Sus scrofa (pig)
Lineage: Eukaryota; Metazoa; Chordata; Mammalia; Artiodactyla; Suidae
Description: lncRNA (ENSSSCG00050033728.1)
Source: RNAcentral
UUUUUUUUUUUUGUCUUUUUGCCAUUUCUUGGGCUGCUCCCGGCAUAUGGAGGUUCCCAGAAGAGACAAUUAAUUAAUUAAUUAAUUAAAUAAGAAAAGAUUUUUAAAGGCAUAUGAGAAAGUAUAUUUCACUUCUCAUUCAAUACAACACAGUCCAUUGAGGGGAACUGGUCACCUCAGGGAAUGAAGCUUUAUUUAGCACAAACAGGAGAGGUUUUCAAUUAGUAUGUCUAUUCUUUAAUAAUUUCAUCAUUCUUCCGAGAUUAUAAAAGCAGUACAUCCUAGGUUAAAAAAAAUUGAGAAAAAAGAUCACCCACAAUAUUAUUACCUAGAGAUAAUAAGCUCUUAUUAGUAUUUGGCAUACAUACUUUCUUUUAAGAUUUCUAUAUACAGAGCUUUUGUCCAUAUUAAAGAAAAUUAGGGAGCUCCCAUUGUGGCUCAGUGGGUUAUGAACCCGACUAGCAUACAUGAGGAUGCAGGUUUGAUUCCUGGCCUUGCUCAGUGGGUUAAGGAUCUGGCAUUGCUGUGAGCUGUGCUGUAGGUCGAAUAAGAGGCUCAGAUCCUGCAUUGCUGUGGCUAGUGGCGUAGGCUGGCAGCUGCAGCUCUGAUUCAACACCCUAGCCUGGGAACUUCCAUAUGCCAAAGGUGUGUCCCUGAAAAGCAAAAAAAAAAAAAAAAAAAAAUCAUACAUUAAGCAUAUUCUCAUCCCAUUCUGUUUUUCUAAAUAUCAUUCCAUAUCAAUAAAUAUUGGCCUCUACCAUCCUGUUUAAAGAUUGCACAGUAUUUCACUAUAUGGAUAGGCCCUAAUGACUUAAUCAAUCCUUUAUUAAUAGGGGUUUAGGUUACUUUCCAUGUUUUGCUGUUGCAAAAAACAGGGCAAUGAGCAAUCUGGUACAUAUGACUGUUUCUUUAAGAUAAAUUCCUAGACGAUAGCUUGUCAUUUUAUAACUCUGGAUCCAUAUUGCCCCAAGUGUCACCCAUAAAAUACAUACCAAAUUUACCUUUUUCAAAAGAAGGAAACCUUUAAAUUUAAGAGUAAUAGCAUAUUUUACAUUUCUAAUAUUUAGAUUAAACAACCAAAAACUUUAAAAAUUCAAUUUAUCUCUAAAAAUCUAAAAUAUCAAUUCAUGCCUCUGAUAUUGCAUUAGAAUUACAUUUGGAGGGGGGGAAUUCUAAAAUACCUAAUAAACCGGUUUUGUUUUCAGCAUUUAUUAAUUUGAAAACUUAAACUCUGAAAAGAAUAUACUUGCUAUAAAACAAGCAAAUUAGUAGGGAAAACUAAAAGGCAAGAAGAGAGGCAAAAAAUACACUAAUCAGUUAUAGCAGCCACCAGGUCACCAAAUCUGAAUCCUAUACAAGGGCUGAGAAAGAAGCAUCAAGAAAAAGAGAAAAGGUGACAACUAAAAGAAACAGCUUUCAGAGACUCAGUGAUGGCUGGAUGAAAUUACACACAGACAUAUACAUCUACAUGCUCUGUAUAGAACCAAUCCUGAAGCUAAUCUCUAGGGGUUAGAACACAAGAGGAACCUUUGUGUGCUUUAUUUAACCAAACAUCAUGUACAAGGGGAUGGGGGAGGCCAGAUACAGGGAAGAGUGUCUAGGUAGCAGCUUGAGGGCCUAGUAUCAACUACUUCCCCUCCUGGGCACCAGGAGGGUAACAGGAACUUGAGGCAUAAAGCAGCUCCAAAGGCACUUAUUCCCUUCAAAACCAACACAAAUGACAAGGCUCAAUCAUCAAGUUCUUUGGCAAACUGGGCAAGGUGAGACUAUUUUUACCAACAAAUAAUUUACUGGAGAGCACCAUGUUUGUGCCUAGGAGGGGAAGGCCACAUAUUAUAACUAAUCUACUGGAGUUUCAUCCUAAUGGGGAAGGCAGGGACAUUAGAUAAAGCAACCAUAACAAAAGCACUGAACAUUUAAGAUGGAAAAUGGCAGUGUGUAUAGGGGUAAGAGGAGGUACUGUUGCUUGCUAACACCACACACCUAUAGGACUUGGGGUCUAACAUUCUUCUAGGCAAGGGCUCAGUAAACUAUGGCCCUUGAAUGGGUCAAAUCCAAUUCUGACUUAUGCUAUGAGCCAUUACCUAUAUAUAACACUUUUAAAUGGUUGAAAAAUUCUUAAAACUGUUUCCCAGCAUACAAAAAUUUCAUGAAAUUCAAACAUCAGUGUCCACAAAGUUUUACUGAACACAGCCAUGCCCACUCCUGGUCAAUGGCUACCUUCUCCAUGCACUGAGUUGGGAGGCUCUAAAUGCUUCAUGCUUGUUAGUUUGGCCCUGACAUACCCAGAAUUUAGACAUAGCCUGCUAGCCUAACAGAGAAUGCAGCCCCAUUUUUAAGAACAGCAGGCAGGUCUAAUUGGUUCUAUGGAUGCUGGGGUACUAGCCAAAUAGUAACCAGAAAAAUGUGAAAGGUUUUUUGAGUUGAAAGUAGAAUGGUCUCAGAAGGUGUGUGUUGGGGUGAGUAGGAUUAAAGGUUUCUCUCUGAAAGAAUACAUGAGCUAUCUCCUUGGACAAGAGAAUGAAACCGUCCUCAAAAUGACUACUACCUUUAGGAGCUUAGCACUGAGCAAAGCCUUUUGCCUUUAUUAUCUCAUUUAAUCUCAAACCCAGGUUCAAGUCUAAGCCUGUGUUCCUAACCACUCCCUGACUUAAAAGCACAAGACAACAAUGUUCACCAGGACUAAAAGAGAGGAAAAGACCACAGGAACAGUGGAAGGUUAUUUUAUGGCCAUGAGCAUCAGAAGUGUUCUAUUCAUCUCUCUCCUCCCUCUCCCUCUUUCUCCUUAUAGUAACAUCAUUUCCUUUAAAGAAAGUAAAAUGCAACUUAUUUCUUCCAGGAACUUGCUUGUUGAGAAAAACUGAUGCAGGUACUCAAACAUGGAGACAUUUUAAAGAUGUCACCAUCAAAGUUAUAGAUCUAACUUCUACUAAAUGCAAUCAAUGUGUAAGGGUCUCCAAAAGAAGGGGGUGAGGAAACAUUUUUUGAGGCAAUGGUUUAGAAAGCACAUAUACAGUUUAAUUUAGAUUUUUCAUUUAAAGUACAAUGAGGAGUAACAGUUAAAUGAAUCUUACUCAAAGAAAGGGCUAUGAUGCUGGUAGGCAGCUGAAUCUUUCUUACUAGGAUCCAUGUUCUUUGCUUUGCCAACUAUACCACCAUUUUCCUUCAAGUUCUCCAAAAAGCCUACAAUUAUAAGAACCACUCAAUCCUAACUCAUUUUGUGAAAACCAGAUUUUUAAGAAGUUUCACUUGGUUGAUAUUUUCAUCAUACUUAUUUGCAGAUAAUGUAUACCAUUAUUAUAUAACAUGUUUGUACAUAUUUACUUGGGUGUUUAUGAAUGGUUACCAACAUCUAGCUCCCAAGUUCUUCCUGUGCACCAAAUGAGGGGCUCAGAGUUUCAUACAGGGAACUUCCUGCAAGGCUCCCAACACUUCUACUAGGUAGGCUUUAUCUAGAUGAGGAACCUCAGGGUCAGGCAGGAUAAGUACAUACAGUGAAUGAGAACGAAAGAACCCAGAUUUGGACUUAAGCCUGUUUUGACUCAGAAACUGUGUUUUUCCCAGCAUUCUGCCAAGGCACCAACACAUUUCCUUAGACUAUCUCUCAGUCAAAUUUGCUGGAGAGCAGUAAGGGUGUGGAGUUGAAUAAACGAUUAGCUCUAAGAGUGGUUACUGGGCUCAAGCCUCUGCGUAUCCACAAUAAAUCCAUUUGAUCUAAUGUUUUUUGAUUUGUUUGGGUUUUUUCUGCUUUUUAGAGCUGCACCGAAGGCACAGAGAAGUACCCAUGCUAGACGUCCAACAGGGACUGCAGUUGCCAGCCUACACCACAGCCACUGCAAUGUGGAUCCGAGCUACAUCUGCAAUCUACACCACGGCUCACAGCAUUGCCAGAUUCUUACCCACUGGGUGAGGCCAGGGAUUGAACCUAUGUCCUCAUGGAUACUAGUUGGGUUCAUUACUGCUGAGCAGAGAUGGGAACUC